This is a long non-coding RNA of Populus euphratica (Euphrates poplar), 106 nucleotides long. RefSeq lists it as uncharacterized. Lineage: Eukaryota; Viridiplantae; Streptophyta; Magnoliopsida; Malpighiales; Salicaceae. The record is from RefSeq and is a predicted model, not a curated record. The transcript has 3 exons.
AAUAAUAAUAAUAAUAAUAAAAGGAAAACUAGAUGUACGGGUCAAAUAGAAGAACAUGGAUCACAUUUAUUAAACCCGACCCGGCCAUGCACAUUCAUCCAAGCCA